CCUAUUGCACAACCCAGUGAGUUUCUGGGAAAACAGAGGACGCAACGUUUGUGCCACUGAAGAACCGGGCCGAUGCAGAACUUGAGGACGGAGCCCGUGAGCCCCACGUGAGACUGCGUCCAACCCGAUUUGCUGGUAUCCACCCUAGCGCUUAGUACAGUGCUUGGCACAAAGAAGGAGUUCUCCGUUCUUCCCAGGAUCCCAGCGGCCGGAUGGGAUCGGAGCCGGGCCGCGUCCCCCUCGGUCCCGGACGACGUGUCCCGGCGUUCGCGGGCCCGGGGAUGGCGGCCGGAAAACCCAGGCUUGCGUCUUUACUUAAACGUGUUUAUUUGUAACCGUCGUACAUGGUGUGUUACAGAAAUUAAUGGAAAAUUUCUAAAAA
Long non-coding RNA from Ornithorhynchus anatinus (platypus), 382 nucleotides. RefSeq lists it as uncharacterized. The record is from RefSeq and is a predicted model, not a curated record. NCBI's taxonomy places the organism in Eukaryota, Metazoa, Chordata, Mammalia, Monotremata, Ornithorhynchidae. The transcript is spliced from 2 exons.